AAAAACUUAGGAUAAACUAAAACCGUGGACCUUCAAAGUCCAAAAUAGGGGGUAACCCCUAGUUUUUG
This 68-nucleotide transfer RNA is filed under the name Corytophanes percarinatus. RNAcentral describes it as "tRNA-Trp". The record is from RNAcentral. Lineage: Eukaryota; Metazoa; Chordata; Lepidosauria; Squamata; Corytophanidae.